AGUGAACGCUGGCGGUAGGCCUAACACAUGCAAGUCGAACGGCAGCACAGUAAGAGCUUGCUCUUACGGGUGGCGAGUGGCGGACGGGUGAGGAAUACAUCGGAAUCUAUUUUUUCGUGGGGGAUAACGUAGGGAAACUUACGCUAAUACCGCAUACGACCUACGGGUGAAAGCAGGGGAUCUUCGGACCUUGCGCGAUUGAAUGGGCCGAUGUCGGAUUAGCUAGUUGGCGGGGUAAAGGCCCACCAAGGCGACGAUCCGUAGCUGGUCUGAGAGGAUGAUCAGCCACACUGGAACUGAGACACGGUCCAGACUCCUACGGGAGGCAGCAGUGGGGAAUAUUGGACAAUGGGCGCAAGCCUGAUCCAGCCAUACCGCGUGGGUGAAGAAGGCCUUCGGGUUGUAAAGCCCUUUUGUUGGGAAAGAAAAGCAGCAGGUUAAUACCCCGCUGUUCUGACGGUACCCAAAGAAUAAGCACCGGCUAACUUCGUG
RNAcentral lists this ribosomal RNA (492 nucleotides) under uncultured bacterium. RNAcentral describes it as "partial 16S ribosomal RNA". It matches the Rfam family "Bacterial small subunit ribosomal RNA", at positions 29 to 507 of the family's 1533-position model. The record is from RNAcentral.